This 698-nucleotide ribosomal RNA is filed under the name Montenegrina skipetarica skipetarica. Its description in RNAcentral is "partial 12S ribosomal RNA". The record is from RNAcentral. Lineage: Eukaryota; Metazoa; Mollusca; Gastropoda; Stylommatophora; Clausiliidae.
GCACUAAGAAACUUAUUAUUCGUCUUAUAUUUAUACAUUUAAAAUGAGAUGUACUUUUAAGUCCGUCUUUUAGUAGAUGUUAGAUCCAAUAUCCGAAAAAAUUUAUUACUGUAACUCGCCUUAAAUUCUUACUUAUUAGCUGCACUUUGAUUUGUAAUUUUCUCUGUUUUAAAAUUUUUAAAUUCACCUGAGGGCGAAUUCGUGACAACGGUAUACAAGCUUUAAAAGUAAGUAGUAUUUUCUUGGUGGUUAUCAAUUAUAUGGUAAGUUCCCCUAAAGUAUUUUCUUAGCCGCCAUAAUAUUUAAGUUUGGGUUUAGUGAUUAACAUUAAUCCUUGUUUUAUAGAAAUUGAUCUCCGCAUAAUUGGGUAUCUAAUCCAGGUUUAAUUACUGGAGUUUAUUAGUCCUAAAUGCGAGGUAAACUUUAAAUAAUUAUUAGUAUUUCACUACAUAAUAAUUUGUUCUGAAUAAUUGUGUUUAACGCUAUAAAACAAAUACUUUAGAUUUACCUAUUAGGUUUGACCGCGGUUGCUGGCACCUAAUAAACCUAGACUACAUAGUUAUCUAAAUCUAAAUUUCAUUAAUUUUUAAAAUUUUUAACUGGAUUAUGUAUUUAUAUUCCAUAUUAAGUUAGACUAUAAAUCUAUAGUUUCAUCAUAUUAAAGUGGUAAAUUCUAAGGGGGUUUAUACCAUUUUAGA